Molecule: ribosomal RNA, 1989 nt
Filed under: human gut metagenome
Description: bacterial LSU rRNA
Rfam family: Bacterial large subunit ribosomal RNA
Source: RNAcentral
UUAAGCUACUAAGGGCACAUGAAGGAUGCCUUGGUAUCGGCAGGCGAAGAAGGACGUGGUAAGCUGCGAAAAGCUUCGGGGAGCUGCACACGAGCAUUGAUCCGGAGAUAUCCGAAUGGGGCAACCCGGCUGGAGUAAUGUCCAGUCAUCCGUAACUGAAUCCAUAGGUUACGGAAGCGAGACGCAGGGAAGUGAAACAUCUCAGUACCUGCAGGAAAAGAAAUCAACAGAGAUUCCGCAAGUAGUGGCGAGCGAACGCGGAAGAGGCUAAACCGGUCGGUUUACUGACCGGGGUUGCGGGACUUCGACGACGGCAAGACCAAUCGAUAGCAGAAGGAUCUGGAAAGGUCCGGCAUAGAGGGUGAAACCCCCGUAAGCGAAAUUGAUUGUAAGCCGUGAAGUAUCCCAAGUAGGUCGGAACACGUGAAACUCUGACUGAAUCCGGGGAGACCACUCUCCAAGCCUAAAUACUAGCCGGUAACCGAUAGCGUAUAGUACCGCGAGGGAAAGGUGAAAAAGCACCCCGGGAGGGGAGUGAAAAGUAUCUGAAAUCAUGUGUCUACAAAGUGUGGGAGCGCAAGCGACCGCAUGCCUUUUGCAUAAUGAGCCUGCGACUUACUCUAACGAGCGAGGUUAAGCCUAGUGCGGAGCCGAAGCGAAAGCGAGUGUGAAAAGCGCGUCUAGUUCGUUGGAGUAGACCCGAAGCUGAGUGAUCUAUCCAUGGCCAGGUUGAAUCUGCGGUAACACGCAGUGGAGGACCGAACCAGUUCAUGUUGAAAAAUGUUUGGAUGAGCUGUGGAUAGGGGUGAAAGGCCAAUCAAACUCAGUGAUAGCUGGUUCUCUUCGAAAUAGCUUUAGGGCUAGCCUUGCGUAAAUAGUUUGCGGGGGUAGAGCUACUGAUUGUUCACGGGCCCUUACCGGGGUACCAAGAACUAUUAAACUCCGAAUACCGUAAACCGUACCGCAGGAGUCAGACUAUGGGGGAUAAGCUUCAUGGUCGAGAGGGAGACAGCCCAGACCGCCGGCUAAGGUCCCAAAUCUGGACUUAGUGGUUUGAAGGAUGUGAUGUUGCAUAAACAGCCAGGAUGUUGGCUUAGAGGCAGCCAUCAUUUAAAGAGUGCGUAAUAGCUCACUGGUCGAGUGAUAUCGCGCCGAAGAUGAUCGGGACUGAAGUCCAGAACCGAAGCCGCGGACCGUGGAUUUAUUCACGGUGGUAGAAGAGCGUUGUAUGCGGGUUGAAGCCGAAGAGUGAUCUGAGGUGGACUGCAUACAAGUGACCAUGCAGGCAUGAGUAGCGAAAAACCGGAUGAGAAUUCCGGUCACCGAAAACCUAAGGUUUCCCGGGGAAGGUUCGUCCGCCCGGGGUUAGUCGGAACCUAAGGCGAGGCCGAAAGGCGUAGUCGAUGGAGGACAGGUUAAUAUUCCUGUACCACCUUGCUUGAGUGAUGGAGGGACGCAGUAAGUCAGGCGAGCCAACUGCUGAAUAUGUUGGUCGAAUCCCGUAGGGCGUGUCAUAGGCAAAUCCGUGACACAUCAGCCUGAGAGGCGUAAGGUAUCCGGGCGCAAGUCUGGAGAAUUCGCUGUGACUACACUGACGAGAAAAGCUUCUAAACGUUGACGGCAGGGUGUCCGUACCGUAAACCGACACAGGUAGGUGAGGCGAGUAGCCUAAGGUGCGCGAGAGAAACCAACGUUAAGGAACUCGGCAAAUCAGCCCCGUAACUUCGGAAUAAGGGGUGCCGUUUCAGGUGGAGGGAUUUACUCCCCGAGCCCGGGACGGUUGCAAUAAAGAGGCCGGUGCGACUGUUUAACAAAAACAUAGCUCUAUGCUAACUCGUAAGAGGAUGUAUAUGGAGUGACACGUGACCAAUGCCAAAAGGUCAAUGGGAGAGGUUAGCGCAAGCGAAGCUUCGAUCUGAAGCCCUGGUGAAUGUCGGCCGUAACUAUAACGGUCCUAAGGUAGCGAAAUUCCUUGUCGGGUAAGUUCCG